AGCAGCCGCGGUAAUUCCAGCUCCAAUAGCGUAUAUUAAAGUUGUUGCAGUUAAAAAGCUCGUAGUUGAAUUUCGGGAUUGACACAUCGGUCGUGCCUUAAGGGGUAUGAACUGGUGUAGUCAGUUUCUCACCUUCUGGAGAACCGCGAUGUCCUUAAUUAGGUGCCGCGAGGAACCAGGACCUUUACUUUGAAAAAAUUAGAGUGUUUAAAGCAGGCUCGCGCUUGAAUACAUUAGCAUGGAAUAAUGAAAUAGGACGUUUGAUUCUAUUUUGUUGGUUUCUAGGAUCGACGUAAUGAUUAAUAGGGAUAGUUGGGGGCAUUAGUAUUCAAUUGUCAGAGGUGAAAUUCUUGGAUUUAUUGAAGACUAACUACUGCGAAAGCAUUUGCCAAGGAUGUUUUCAUUAAUCAAGAACGAAAGUUAGGGGAUCGAAGACGAUCAGAUACCGUCGUAGUCUUAACCAUAAACUAUGCCGACUAGGGAUCGGAUGAUGUUAUUUUUAAUGAC
This 507-nucleotide ribosomal RNA is filed under the name uncultured Entrophospora. RNAcentral describes it as "SSU rRNA". It matches the Rfam family "Eukaryotic small subunit ribosomal RNA", at positions 569 to 1075 of the family's 1831-position model. The record is from RNAcentral. Lineage: Eukaryota; Fungi; Glomeromycota; Glomeromycetes; Entrophosporales; Entrophosporaceae.